GGUGAACGCUGGCGGUAGGCCUAACACAUGCAAGUCGAACGGCAGCACAGUAAGAGCUUGCUCUUACGGGUGGCGAGUGGCGGACGGGUGAGGAAUACAUCGGAAUCUACUUUUUCGUGGGGGCUAACGUAGGGAAACUUACGCUAAUACCGCAUACGACCUACGGGUGAAAGCAGGGGAUCUUCGGACCUUGCGCGAUUGAAUGACCCGAUGUCGGAUUAGCUAGUUGGCGGGGUAAAGGCCCACCAAGGCGACGAUCCGUAGCUGGUCUGAGAGGAUGAUCAGCCACACUGGAACUGAGACACGGUCCAGACUCCUACGGGAGGCAGCAGUGGGGAAUAUUGGACAAUGGGCGCAAGCCUGAUCCAGCCAUACCGCGUGGGUGAAGAAGGCCUUCGGGUUGUAAAGCCCUUUUGUUGGGAAAGAAAAGCAGCAGGUUAAUACCCCGCUGUUCUGACGGUACCCACAGAAUAAGCACCGGCUAACUUCGUG
Molecule: ribosomal RNA, 492 nt
Filed under: uncultured bacterium
Lineage: Bacteria
Description: partial 16S ribosomal RNA
Rfam family: Bacterial small subunit ribosomal RNA
Source: RNAcentral